CUGGGGCCCCCUUUUAUUAAAAUGAUUCUUUUUAGAUCUUUCUUUUUUGCUUCGGCAUUUUAGGAGAUCUUGUAACUUUAAGUAAAUUAGAGUGUUCAAAGCAAACAGAUUAUAGCAUCUUUAUGCGUUUGAAUACUACAGCAUGGAAUAACAAAAUUGAACAAGUCAGAAUUUUGUUCUUUUUUCUUAUUUUGGCUUAGUUACGAUUAAUAGGAGUAGCUUGGGGGCAUUUGUAUUCAGAUGUCAGAGGUGAAAUUCUUAGAUUUUCUGGAGACAAACAACUGCGAAAGCAUUUGCCUAAAAUACUUCCAUUAAUCAAGAACGAAAGUUAAGGGAGUGAAGACGAUCAGAUACCGUCGUAAUCUUAACCAUAAACUAUGCCGACUAGGCUUUGGAUGAAAGAAGUAAAAUAAAAGCCCCCCCCCC
This 426-nucleotide ribosomal RNA is filed under the name Plasmodium inui. RNAcentral describes it as "partial 18S ribosomal RNA". It matches the Rfam family "Eukaryotic small subunit ribosomal RNA", at positions 680 to 1081 of the family's 1831-position model. The record is from RNAcentral. Lineage: Eukaryota; Apicomplexa; Aconoidasida; Haemosporida; Plasmodiidae.